GACGAACGCUGACGGCGUGCUUAACACAUGCAAGUCGAAGGGAGUGGCGAACGGGUGAGUAACACGUGAGUAACCUGCCCUUUUCUUUGGGAUAAACCUGGGAAACUGGGUCUAAUACUGGAUGGAUUGGGAUGGGCUCGCGGCUUAUCAGGUUGUUGGUGGGGUGAUGGCUUACCAAGGCUUUGACGGGUAGCCGGCCUGAGAGGGUGGUCGGUCACACGGGGACGGAGCAACGGCCCAGAGUACGACGGGUGGCAGCAGUGGGGGAUAUUGCACAAUGGACGAAAGUCCGAUGCAGCGUCGUCGUGUGGGGGAUGAAGGCCUUAGGGUUGUAAACGCCUUUCGCCCGCGGAAUGGUAGUGGGUAAAGAAGCGCCGGCUAACUACGUGCCAGCAGCCGCGGUAAUUC
This 408-nucleotide ribosomal RNA is filed under the name uncultured bacterium. RNAcentral describes it as "partial 16S ribosomal RNA". It matches the Rfam family "Bacterial small subunit ribosomal RNA", at positions 28 to 526 of the family's 1533-position model. The record is from RNAcentral.